Molecule: long non-coding RNA, 371 nt
Organism: Hibiscus syriacus
Lineage: Eukaryota; Viridiplantae; Streptophyta; Magnoliopsida; Malvales; Malvaceae
Exons: 3
Source: RefSeq, a predicted model, not a curated record
CAAAAUUUAAUGUAUACAGUUUCAGUGGUGGAUAAAGAAAUUGAAUAGCCAAUCUGCAAUAAACCAAGAACCUUUAAUCAAUUUUCUUUCCGUCAACUAUUAUUUCCUUCUCGCUACUCACAUGUGUAUUCCGACUAUUUCUUCAAACUUCUAUUAAAAUGUGCUUUCUUAUUUGGGAUUAACAGGCAAUUUAUGAAAAGAUUAGGGAGCUCUCAAACUGUCAAAUUGUUUAUCCAGGAAUUGAUUUUCUGAAGAAAGAAGCUGGUAUUCCUAAGAGUCGUCAAAGUUGAGGAUAUUCCUGGUUUGAAGGAAGCCGGAUGGACUCCUGAUCAAUGGGGUCAUACACGAUUUAGAUCCUUAAUUGUAUCUGC